UACGUAGGAGGCAAGCGUUGUCCGGAAUUACUGGGCGUAAAGCGCGUGUAGGUGGUGGGACAAGUCUGCUGUGAAAGCGCCUGGCUUAACCGGGCGAGGUCGGCGGAAACUGUCCGACUCGAGGACGGUAGAGUGGGGUGGAAUUCCCGGUGUAGUGGUGAAAUGCGUAGAGAUCGGGAGGAACACCUGUGGCGAAGGCGGCCCCCUGGGCCGGCCCUGACACUGAGACGCGAAGGCGUGGGGAGCGAACGGG
This 253-nucleotide ribosomal RNA is filed under the name uncultured bacterium. RNAcentral describes it as "partial 16S ribosomal RNA". It matches the Rfam family "Bacterial small subunit ribosomal RNA", at positions 524 to 776 of the family's 1533-position model. The record is from RNAcentral.